CAGCCGCCGCGGGAAUACGAAGGGUGCAAGCGUUACUCGGAAUCACUGGGCGUAAAGCGUGCGUAGGUGGUGGUUUAAGUCCGUUGUGAAAGCCCUGGGCUCAACCUGGGAAUUGCAGUGGAUACUGGGUCACUAGAGUGUGGUAGAGGAUAGUGGAAUUUCCGGUGUAGCAGUGAAAUGCGUAGAGAUCGGAAGGAACAUCUGUGGCGAAGGCGACUAUCUGGGCCAACACUGACACUGAGGCACGAAAGCGUGGGGAGCAAACAGGAUUAGAUACCCCUGUAGUCCCUGUCUCUUAUAC
This 301-nucleotide ribosomal RNA is filed under the name uncultured bacterium. RNAcentral's name for it is "partial 16S ribosomal RNA". It matches the Rfam family "Bacterial small subunit ribosomal RNA", at positions 509 to 807 of the family's 1533-position model. The record is from RNAcentral.